AAAUUGAAGAGUUUGAUCAUGGCUCAGAUUGAACGCUGGCGGCAGGCCUAACACAUGCAAGUCGAACGGUAACAGGAAGCAGCUUGCUGCUUUGCUGACGAGUGGCGGACGGGUGAGUAAUGUCUGGGAAACUGCCUGAUGGAGGGGGAUAACUACUGGAAACGGUAGCUAAUACCGCAUAACGUCGCAAGACCAAAGAGGGGGACCUUCGGGCCUCUUGCCAUCGGAUGUGCCCAGAUGGGAUUAGCUAGUAGGUG
Molecule: ribosomal RNA, 257 nt
Filed under: Escherichia coli
Lineage: Bacteria; Pseudomonadati; Pseudomonadota; Gammaproteobacteria; Enterobacterales; Enterobacteriaceae
Description: partial 16S ribosomal RNA
Rfam family: Bacterial small subunit ribosomal RNA
Source: RNAcentral